UCUGGGUUGGAGUCACACGUU
This 21-nucleotide non-coding RNA is filed under the name Caenorhabditis elegans. The record is from RNAcentral. Lineage: Eukaryota; Metazoa; Nematoda; Chromadorea; Rhabditida; Rhabditidae.